This is a long non-coding RNA of Gavialis gangeticus (Gharial), 377 nucleotides long. RefSeq lists it as uncharacterized. The transcript has 2 exons. NCBI's taxonomy places the organism in Eukaryota, Metazoa, Chordata, Crocodylia, Gavialidae. The record is from RefSeq and is a predicted model, not a curated record.
UCACAGUGCCUGACACUCCUCCCUUGUUAGUGCCAGCUGUGAAACAUCUGCAUGAAAGGACCAGCCCAAGACACCCAGGUUGUGUUCCUGUCCAGGAAGCAAGUUCCCUUUCAGAGCUCCUUUAAUUCUGGGUAGUUGAUGUUAAACAUCAUAGUCCUGGAUGAUCUGGUACUGGUCCCAAAAGAAACCCCACACCAUUGUUCUCUUUCUUGGUGUGUUCUCAGGAGACAAGAGUAACCAUUUAUCCAGCCUGGAGAAAGUCUUGCAGGGAGACACAAAGGGCCUGGAUGGGAGCCUUGUCAGGAGGAUCAUUCACUUGGCCUCCAAAGACAUGAGGGAGACCCAGCAAGAAAAUGAUGAACUGCAGUAGGCUGCAG